This is a long non-coding RNA of Choloepus didactylus (southern two-toed sloth), 1879 nucleotides long. RefSeq lists it as uncharacterized. The record is from RefSeq and is a predicted model, not a curated record. NCBI's taxonomy places the organism in Eukaryota, Metazoa, Chordata, Mammalia, Pilosa, Megalonychidae. The transcript is spliced from 3 exons.
UGUGAACUUUGGUUUGAACACAGAGAGAAUGGACUCUCAUUAGAGUACUUCAGCAGUGCUCAUGGAUUUCGAGGCCACAGGGCCCAAGCUUCUAACUGCUGUUGGACAUCAGGAGGCAGAAUACCAUGGUAGUAAAAGUGGUAUUCAGCUCACCAGCUGUGUGGCCUUUAGCAAGUCACUCACCGUCUCUGAACCUCUGUUUUCCUGUUUGUAGACUGAGCGUCUCUUUUCGCUUGCCUGGUGGGCUGAGUGAUGGCCCCCAAAGAUGUCCACACCCUAAUCCCAGGAACCUGUGAAUAUGUUACCUUCUGUGGCAAAAGGGACUUUGCAGUUGGGGUUAAGGUAAGGACCUUGAGAUGGGGAGAGGAUCCUGGAUUAUCUGGAGGGGCCCAGUGUAACGACCAACACCUUUGUGGCAAAGGUCAGUGUCAGAAGAAGGCACUGUGAUGACUGAAGAAGAGAAAAUGAGAUUGAAGAUGCUGUGCCACUGGCUUUGAAGAUGGAGGAGGGAACCAGGAGCCAGGGAAUGCAGGUGGCUUCCAGCAGCUGGAAAAGGCAGGGAAACGGAUUCUCCCCUAGGACUCCAGAAGGAAGACAGCCCCGCUGACUGGUUUUAGACAUCUGACUUUGAGAAAUGUAACAGAAUUCAUUUGUUUGUUUUAAGGCACUCAGUUUGUGGUUUUUUGUUACAGCAGCUGUAGGAAAUGAAUACAGCUCAUAAUUCACAUGUCUGGUUCUUCUUCCUCCCUGGCUAUACAGGUUGGUCUCCUGCUCUGCACUGUUCUUCCUCCUCUUUCUGACUUGCAACAAGAGUUGGGAGGGAGGUCCUUCUGCCUUGGUGAUCUCAUCCCAUCUCAAGGCUUUCAGUGUGCUAUGGGUGCACUAUGGCUCCCAAACGUACAUCUCCAGACACAGUUCUCCCCUUGACUCCAGGCUCUCUUACUCACCUGCCUACUACCUGUCACUGUCAAGACAUCCACUGGGUAAACAUCCUGAGUAGGACUCUUGACUUUUCCCCAGUCCUGCUCCACCUACAGUUUUCCCAUCACGGUUAAUGUGGAUCCUUCCAGAGGCUCUGGUCCAAUAUCUAGCAGUAUGCUCUCUCUCUCCCAACUGCAUUCAUGCCUUCAGUAAAUCCUAUUAGCUCUACUUGAAAAUGUCUGCUGAAUCUGACCACGUCUGCCUCCCAUGCUCCCCACCCUGAUCCAAGUCACCUCUGCCCAAAACACCUCCAUGCCCCAUGCAGAGCCCCCACAAUGGCCCUGAGGCACUACGAGAGUGAGGGUGCCCCCACCCUCCUUUCUCCUCUCAGAGUCUCACCUCUCACCCUUCUCACCCUGCCCUAGCACAGGGCUCCUGUUGUUCCUCAGACACCCCAGGCAAGCUGGUGACCCAGGGACUUUGCACUUGACAUUCCUAGUCAUGGAAUGUUCUUGUUCCACAUAGUAGCACGGCUUGUUCCUCCCCCUCCUGCAAAUCUUUAUUCAACUGCCCCCUCUCUGAGGCCUUGUCCAACUUCCCUGUUUAAAAUUGUGCCCUUCAUUUCCCUAUCAGCUUGAUUUUUUUCUCAGCAUUUAAAAAUUGCUGGCAUCUCCACCAAAAAUUGAAGACUCAUGGUCUUCUAAUGUUAAAUGUAACUAAACUAGAUGCUUCCCUAGGGCAAGGAUUCUUUCUGUUUUGCUUCCUGCUGUUUGUUCUCCCUUUGCCCAGUACGUAGAUCAAUGUGGCACACAUGAGGCACUCAGCACAUCUACUGAGUGAACAAAUCUGAACAAAUAGUUGGGCAAUAAAUUUAUGCAACAGUUUUACCUGAGUAUAAGAGCUGAGUGUCCAAAAUAAAUGUAAUGGGCCCAGUUUAUAAAUAAGUUAUUUAUCUAUA